Molecule: ribosomal RNA, 1225 nt
Filed under: Salmonella enterica subsp. enterica
Lineage: Bacteria; Pseudomonadati; Pseudomonadota; Gammaproteobacteria; Enterobacterales; Enterobacteriaceae
Description: partial 23S ribosomal RNA
Rfam family: Bacterial large subunit ribosomal RNA
Source: RNAcentral
AUCCGGUUCACUUUAACACUGAGGCGUGACGACGAGGCACUACGGUGCUGAAGCAACAAAUGCCCUGCUUCCAGGAAAAGCCUCUAAGCAUCAGGUAACAUCAAAUCGUACCCCAAACCGACACAGGUGGUCAGGUAGAGAAUACCAAGGCGCUUGAGAGAACUCGGGUGAAGGAACUAGGCAAAAUGGUGCCGUAACUUCGGGAGAAGGCACGCUGACACGUAGGUGAAGUGAUUUACUCAUGGAGCUGAAGUCAGUCGAAGAUACCAGCUGGCUGCAACUGUUUAUUAAAAACACAGCACUGUGCAAACACGAAAGUGGACGUAUACGGUGUGACGCCUGCCCGGUGCCGGAAGGUUAAUUGAUGGGGUCAGCGCAAGCGAAGCUCCUGAUCGAAGCCCCGGUAAACGGCGGCCGUAACUAUAACGGUCCUAAGGUAGCGAAAUUCCUUGUCGGGUAAGUUCCGACCUGCACGAAUGGCGUAAUGAUGGCCAGGCUGUCUCCACCCGAGACUCAGUGAAAUUGAACUCGCUGUGAAGAUGCAGUGUACCCGCGGCAAGACGGAAAGACCCCGUGAACCUUUACUAUAGCUUGACACUGAACAUUGAGCCUUGAUGUGUAGGAUAGGUGGGAGGCUUUGAAGCGUGGACGCCAGUCUGCGUGGAGCCGGCCUUGAAAUACCACCCUUUAAUGUUUGAUGUUCUAACGUGGACCCGUGAUCCGGGUUGCGGACAGUGUCUGGUGGGUAGUUUGACUGGGGCGGUCUCCUCCUAAAGAGUAACGGAGGAGCACGAAGGUUGGCUAAUCCUGGUCGGACAUCAGGAGGUUAGUGCAAUGGCAUAAGCCAGCUUGACUGCGAGCGUGACGGCGCGAGCAGGUGCGAAAGCAGGUCAUAGUGAUCCGGUGGUUCUGAAUGGAAGGGCCAUCGCUCAACGGAUAAAAGGUACUCCGGGGAUAACAGGCUGAUACCGCCCAAGAGUUCAUAUCGACGGCGGUGUUUGGCACCUCGAUGUCGGCUCAUCACAUCCUGGGGCUGAAGUAGGUCCCAAGGGUAUGGCUGUUCGCCAUUUAAAGUGGUACGCGAGCUGGGUUUAGAACGUCGUGAGACAGUUCGGUCCCUAUCUGCCGUGGGCGCUGGAGAACUGAGGGGGGCUGCUCCUAGUACGAGAGGACCGGAGUGGACGCAUCACUGGUGUUCGGGUUGUCAUGCCAAUGGCACUGCCCG